GUUCUCUCUCAUUUUGUUAGCAUCCUUUUCUGGGUCUUUUUAAAGUUUGAAAUUCAGUGGAAAUUUUAUAAAGGCUAGCCUGUGUUAUUUAGUGGAGAAUGAUAGGUUUGAUGUAGUUAACAUUCACAGCAAGUUGGGUCUGGCUACACUCUUAGCACAGUGGUGGGAAACCUAUGGUACACUUUUUUUUUUUAAGACAAAAGAUAAAUGUUUGGGCCGGAGAUUUAGCUCAGUGGUUCCGCCGCCUGCCUCACAAGCCCAAGGUCCUGAGUUCGAUCCCCGGUACCCCCCCCCCCAAAAACCCCCCAGAAGAUGUUAAUGUGGGAGUUUUUUUCUAAACUAAAUCCCUGGUAUUCAGGCUUAAUUGCAGUGUUGGCAUUUCUCAGUAAAUAAGUGGGUUUGGGUUCCAGUUUGGGCACUUUCUAAAAGGUUUGUCAUUACUGCUCUAGCACAUAAAACAAAGUCUGUUUCCUUGUGUUAUAGGGCAGCUAUUACAGAAUUUUCAGAAGUCCUAUGUAGUUCCAAAAUGCGCAGUAUGUGGCUAACUGCUUAAUAGCACAUUGUCUAAAGGAUGCAAGACUUUGCUACACUGAAAUUUACCCUUCUUGAAUUUCCCUUGUGGACUCACUUGUGAAGGUUAGAAUAGGAAAGGCUUUUAAAGCCAGAAUUGAGUUUUUAACCUGCCCAUCUGUCUAAUACCUUCUGUGGUGGUUAUGAUGACUAAAACAACUCUUAAGGACCGGAUUAGUUUAAUACUAAGCUUAGUUCACAUAUAGGUAACAGUAACUCAUACUUAGUGAAAGGACACAUCCCUAAAAGUGGAUAUUUUCGUAGGCUUCUAUUUCUCAAAGCAAUCUCUACUUCACUACUAUAGGCAUUAGAAAAGCUGUAUCUGAAAGCAAGGUCUUCAUAGCAAAGCUUCUCAAAAAAAAAGCCACAUGCAUUGGUACUUAAGUAUUUAUUGAGACAAAUACAAACUGGUGGCAUCCAAAUUAAAAACAAAAUGGUGAACUGUAUUUGUAAGUGGGCCAUCAGAUACUGUUUUGCAGGUCCAGGGUCCUACAGUGAGCUGUAAGGAAAUAUGCACAUAUUUCACCCAUACCAGCACAGGCUGUAAGGACUUUGGCGCUUUUGGUAUUGGCGGGGGCGGGUGGCAAGAAACUGAACUACUUGUCAGGUUAAGGGAAUACUGUUGUCUAUGCAGAGUCUUUAAAACAGCAACAAAUACAGAGUCAAAACAUGUAACACUCCAUCCUCCUUCAAAAGCUCUUUAUUCCUAUGUAGCUAAUAAUUUAAAAUUUUCAACUUUCACUUUGCUGGAAAUACUUGGCAUAAGCAAAACACUCAAAACCCUUUCAAUUACUAGUUAAAAUAAAUUUUACCAUAAUUUAAUACAUUAAAAACACUGAAGACUUGUUUUUGUGGUUUAAACAAAGUGACUGACCCUCAAGUAGAAUGCCUUUUUAAAGAUUCCUAAAUACCUGGGUGAACAACUGCUGAACCAAUCCAGAGAAGUAGUUAGGCUAUUCUUUAUAAUACUGGCAAUUGAUGGCUUAUUAUCCAUGUGUUGGCUUUAUUUCUGUGGUCUCAUUAGCAGCCCAAAAGCAAGGCUUGCAGUCACUCAAAACUUACCUUCCGGGGGCCCACCUUCUGGCUUCAACAUGAUUAACUGAUAUGCCAGACUCCUCAAGGUGGACUGGCCACUUCAGUGUACAUUUAGAGAUGCAGUUAGAUUUCUGAGUUGCCCAAGUUCACUUCUAGUCAUUUAUUAACUGAAUUGAUAAUACAGCAAUAAGACAACAUAAUUUCUCAUCAUUGUAUCAGUCCUAAGAUUUUAGCUUAGGACAUGCUUACUGAAAUUGUGUUCUCUGCUCAAGUCCUAAUACUUAUUGCACUGAUUGUUUUAUUAUGAAUACAACUUUCUUUUGCCUUUUAAAAAGGCUAGGGCUUCAACAUGAGAAUUACUAUACGUAGAAGAUCACUUUCUAAAAGUAAAAUAAAGUAGAAAAGUGUCUUCAAAAGGAGAAGUUCCCCAAGAGAAAAAGGGCAGCAAGGCCACAUUUCCUUUUCCUUCAUUGUUUAGUCCUGUUUUCUAAUUUUGGGAACCAAGUGCUGAAUUCAUAAAUAGAAACAGACUUAGGCUUUUGUUGUGAAGGCAAAGUAAUACUUAAAACACAUAAUCUUUUACAGGGCUAUAUAACUGAAUCCACAGUUGGAUCUAGGUUUUAAUCUCAACUUACAUAUAGCAAAUCAUAAUACUUUAUGUAUAACAUUAAACAGGACCCUUUUUUUUUCCUGUAACCCAGGAUAGGCAACUAUGUAUUUUAUUUGAGCAGAAAUUUCAGAAUUUCAAAGAUGUACUACUCUAGAGCUUUAGGACUAAAUGAUGUUUCAACUUGAAUUCCUCAGUGGCAAGGUAGUACAUAAUGCUAAUGUGCAGAUUAAGUGCUAAGUUUAUAAUAUUUCCCAAUUUUUUUGUAUCGGGGAUCAAACUCAGGACCCUGCGCUUGUGAGGCAGGCAGCGGCACCACCGAACUAAACCCCUGGCCCUCCGAAUUUUUAAUAGAAUUAAAAGAUUUUUUGUUUUUUUACUGGGAAGCACCGUAAAACUAAAUUUUCCCAGAGGCUUCAAGUGAAUGAUCUAUUUAGUACUCUGAUAUAUUUAACUGAUAAGCUUUUGGUAAAGUUGGACUUAAUAUAAAAUUAUUUUG
Molecule: long non-coding RNA, 2711 nt
Filed under: Heterocephalus glaber (naked mole-rat)
Lineage: Eukaryota; Metazoa; Chordata; Mammalia; Rodentia; Bathyergidae
Description: lncRNA (ENSHGLG00100033496.1)
Source: RNAcentral